This 1322-nucleotide long non-coding RNA is filed under the name Cairina moschata (Muscovy duck). Its description in RNAcentral is "domestica (muscovy Duck (domestic type)) lncRNA (ENSCMMG00000000907.1)". The record is from RNAcentral. Lineage: Eukaryota; Metazoa; Chordata; Aves; Anseriformes; Anatidae.
AAUUACUUUCCACUUUGCUUUUUCGAAUUUGGGGAGAUGGCUGAGAGCCCAAUCUGUUGCCCAUCUGCUGUGUUUUGAUACCCAGACGAGAAGGCUAUUUAAAAAGGCCGAGUGCAGGAGGUACUGAGCAAGGCACCUGUUGAGAAGUCCUAGGAGAUACUUGGCAGCUUUUAAUGUUUAACGACAAUGAAGCUAUCUUGCAGUUUGCUCUUCAGGAAGAACUGCAAGGCAUCAGCUCAGGAUCACAAAGAUCUUACCGUCUCAUCAGUUCAUGCAGAUUAAUUGAAGGACAAGCAACACCCCAAAAAUCUCACCUUGAGUUUGCUGAGAUAGAUGUGCUCUGGGAGGUUGGAUUUCUGGGUUGUAAGCAGCCCAGGACAGCAGCCCUUCCAGCUGUGUAUCCAGCAAGCAGAGCGCUCUGGCUAGCCACGAGCCUGUUUCUGGCCACUUUAAUUUGUCAGGUUUCUCACAGCUUGUGUUUCCCUCAAGUCACUUCGACAGCAAGAACAAGCUUGUUUGCUCUGCCAGCUUCCUUAAUCAUAAAAGUUCACUUUGACUUGACAACUCUUAGAGAAGCGGAACAGUAGGAGAAAAAAAUAUGAAAAAAAAAUAAUGAAAAAAGGACCGAAGAUUGCUUGAGACUGCAGUGUUUUUGUUCCAGAGUGCAUGACUUGCAUUUAAGUCACUACAGCCUCACUGACACUUUGCCUCUGCAUUUAUUUAAUGUAUUAAAGCAAAAAAAAAAAAGGAAAUGCCUAGGAUGGUAGCCAUUACGUGUUAGGAAUGACUGGUCAGGGGUGGAGAAGUGCUCCUGCUACAGAACACGCUCUACUGCCAGGCUGCGAGGAGAGGCAGUGGGCUCUGCAUCGUGACAGGUCUGAACGGGUGGGAAGCUUCCUUCGUGUGUGCUCAACAGGAAGAUCUGGGAAGCGCUGGGAAGUGGUAUUUCUGCUCUUCCUUUGUGAGGAUUUUCAGGUUGAAAAACCAGGGGCAACACCGACUGCUGCCAGCGGCGGAGGACACAGCUGACAUCCCUGAGGGCGGUGGCCCAGGGCACCCGACCUCGCGCCCGUGUUCCCCAUCGGGUGGCCGCACACCUGGCUCCCUCUGGCAGCCUGCCCACCCCUUUUUUUUUUGCAGUUUGAGGGAGGUUAGUGGUCAAUGGCAAAAGUUCCUGCUUGAGAAAGGACUUUUGGGUUACAUGCAAAAAAAAAAUCAGCUUUUUGGUUGUUGUUUAUACAGAAAUAUCUUUCAAUGUCUCUUGGGUUUUCUGUAAAAGGGAAACAAACCCCAACCUCUCCCCUUGCCUCCCUACAUCUCGG